GACGAACGCUGGCGGCGUGCUUAACACAUGCAAGUCGAGCGGAAAGGCCCUUCGGGGUACUCGAGCGGCGAACGGGUGAGUAACACGUGAGUAACCUGCCCCAGACUUUGGGAUAACCCUCGGAAACGGGGGCUAAUACCGGAUACGACACAGCUUCGCAUGGGGUCUGUGUGGAAAGUUUUUCGGUUUGGGAUGGGCUCGCGGCCUAUCAGCUUGUUGGUGGGGUGAUGGCCUACCAAGGCGACGACGGGUAGCCGGCCUGAGAGGGCGACCGGCCACACUGGGACUGAGACACGGCCCAGACUCCUACGGGAGGCAGCAGUGGGGAAUAUUGCACAAUGGGCGGAAGCCUGAUGCAGCGACGCCGCGUGAGGGAUGACGGCCUUCGGGUUGUAAACCUCUUUCAGCAGGGACGAAGCGUAAGUGACGGUGCCUGCAGAAGAAGCGCCGGCCAACUACGUG
This 462-nucleotide ribosomal RNA is filed under the name uncultured bacterium. Its description in RNAcentral is "partial 16S ribosomal RNA". It matches the Rfam family "Bacterial small subunit ribosomal RNA", at positions 28 to 507 of the family's 1533-position model. The record is from RNAcentral.